Molecule: long non-coding RNA, 384 nt
Filed under: Daucus carota (carrot)
Lineage: Eukaryota; Viridiplantae; Streptophyta; Magnoliopsida; Apiales; Apiaceae
Description: long non-coding RNA (DCAR_LNC004769)
Source: RNAcentral
UUCCACACACAUCGUCAAUACCACUAGCUUCAACAAUAGAAUCAACCGCAGACACAGUGGUACCAGUUGCAGCAGGUAUAUCCGGGCAGCCAUCCUUAACAACAGAAUCUUCAGCAGCUGAAGGUUUAUUUCCACAUCCCUCCUUAACAACAGCAUCUUCAGAAGACACAGCAGGUACAUCUCCACAUCCAUUCUUAACACCAGCAUCUUCAGAAGGCACAGCAGGUAUAUCUCCACAUCCACCCUUAACAACAGAAUCUUCAGCAGCAGCAGCCUCUAGAUCUCCACAUUCAUCCUUAGUGACAGUACCAUUAGCAGCCGCAGCAGGUACAUCUCCACGUCCAUCCUCAACGACUGUAUGCUCAGCAGCAGUCAUUUCAACAU